UACGGAGGGUGCAAGCGUUGUCCGGAUUUAUUGGGUUUAAAGGGUGCGUAGGCGGCUGAUUAAGUCAGUGGUGAAAGCCGGUAGCUUAACUAUCGAAUUGCCAUUGAUACUGGUUAGCUUGAGUACAGAUGAGGUAGGCGGAAUUUAUGGUGUAGCGGUGAAAUGCAUAGAUACCAUAAAGAACUCCGAUAGCGAAGGCAGCUUACUAAACUGUAACUGACGCUGAGGCACGAAAGCAUGGGGAGCAAACAGG
RNAcentral lists this unclassified non-coding RNA (253 nucleotides) under uncultured Cytophagales bacterium. Its description in RNAcentral is "contains 16S-23S intergenic spacer region". It matches the Rfam family "Bacterial small subunit ribosomal RNA", at positions 524 to 776 of the family's 1533-position model. The record is from RNAcentral. Lineage: Bacteria; Pseudomonadati; Bacteroidota; Sphingobacteriia; Sphingobacteriales.